This is a long non-coding RNA of Psammomys obesus (fat sand rat), 326 nucleotides long. RefSeq lists it as uncharacterized. The transcript is spliced from 3 exons. The record is from RefSeq and is a predicted model, not a curated record. Lineage: Eukaryota; Metazoa; Chordata; Mammalia; Rodentia; Muridae.
CUUAAAAAAUUAGAAAAGUAAUACAUGCUUUGUGAAGAGUCAAAUGCUCCAUGAAAAGAAGUGAAAAAGGAAAAAUUGUUCCUUUCUGGCCCUUCUAGUCUCACUUUCAAGGACAGAGAAAAGCUGUCACUGCCAUCCAGACGGUAAACAGACUCAGGAUUGCUGAAAGUAGUUUGACUUCCCAAUGUGCCCAACUUCGGGGAAGCAAAUCAGCCAACAAUCGUGAAAAGCCAGAGCUGGAGUCAGAAGGCUUCUGAGUCUCCAACAAGCAGAGUGGCGAUCCAGAUCCGUGCUGACACUGUCACCACAGACUACCUGGAAUUGUG